This 31-nucleotide non-coding RNA is filed under the name Rattus norvegicus (Norway rat). Lineage: Eukaryota; Metazoa; Chordata; Mammalia; Rodentia; Muridae. The record is from RNAcentral.
UCCUCUGCAAGAGUAGGUAGUGUUCUUAACC